This 465-nucleotide ribosomal RNA is filed under the name uncultured bacterium. RNAcentral's name for it is "bacterial SSU rRNA". It matches the Rfam family "Bacterial small subunit ribosomal RNA", at positions 57 to 518 of the family's 1533-position model. The record is from RNAcentral.
GCAAGUCAGGGGCAGCAUGUGGUGCUGCAACCAAUGAUGGCGACCGGCGCACGGGUGAGUAACGCGUAUCCAACUCCCCUAGUAGAGGAUAGCCCGGCGAAAGUCGGAUUAAUACUCUAUGUUGAUUUUGAUGACAUCUGACGAAUACCAAAGAUUUAUCGCUAAGGGAUGGGGAUGCGUCUGAUUAGGUUGCAGGCGGGGUAACGGCCCACCUGGCCUACGAUCAGUAGGGGUUCUGAGAGGAAGGUCCCCCACACUGGUACUGAGACACGGACCAGACUCCUACGGGAGGCAGCAGUGAGGAAUAUUGGUCAAUGGGCGCGAGCCUGAACCAGCCAAGUAGCGUGCAAGGACGACUGCCCUAUGGGUUGUAAACUGCUUUUAUCAGGGAAUAAAGUGAGGCACGCGUGCCUUUUUGUAUGUACCUGAUGAAUAAGGACCGGCUAAUUCCGUGCCAGCAGCCGC